CCACUUGAAGAUUUCUGGCUUCACCCCUGACACAACCACAGCUGUAGACAUCACUGAUACCACAGGAACUGCUGUAUGUGUGGGUUUGUCUCUUAUCAAUCAUGAUUAGAUUUGGGAGUGGAGAUCUUUCCAGGGCAAGAUCUGCCCACAUAUCAGGUGGUGUUGCUGUAUAAAUUACAGGAGGCAGCAGUCCUUUCCAGCUUAUUCUGGACAUCCUACUGAAAGAUUAACAUAAGAAAAGUUUUCCAGGUCUGUGGUGAAUCCUCAGGUGAGGAUGCCAUGGAGCCGGUUACAACACUAAUGAAGAGGAGCUGGAGUUGAGAUGCUGCUCCCAAGGGCAGAACAUCUGGUCUGGUGCAACUCAGAGGAGGAACUCUGCAUUUCCUAGAGUCAUCUUCUUUGUUUUGUGCUAACUGACCAGAUGCA
Molecule: long non-coding RNA, 426 nt
Organism: Carassius carassius (crucian carp)
Lineage: Eukaryota; Metazoa; Chordata; Actinopteri; Cypriniformes; Cyprinidae
Exons: 3
Source: RefSeq, a predicted model, not a curated record